Molecule: ribosomal RNA, 522 nt
Filed under: uncultured bacterium
Lineage: Bacteria
Description: bacterial SSU rRNA
Rfam family: Bacterial small subunit ribosomal RNA
Source: RNAcentral
AGAGUUUGAUCCUGGCUCAGAGCGAACGCUGGCGGCGUGGAUUAGGCAUGCAAGUCGAACGGGUUCGCGGUCGCAAGAUCGCGAGCCAGUGGCGAAAGGGCGAGUACUACAUCGAUCAUCUGCCCCAGGGACCGGGACAACACUUGGAAACGAGUGCUAAUACCGGAUAGUCCAGUAAUGGUAAACGGCGGGGACCGCAAGGCCUGCCGCCCAGGGAGGAGUCGAUGGCCUAUCAGCUUGUUGGUGAGGUAACGGCUCACCAAGGCGAAGACGGGUAGCCGGACUGAGAGGUUGGUCGGCCGCACUGGGACUGGGACACUGCCCAGACUCCUACGGGAGGCUGCAGUCGAGGAUCUUCCGCAAUGGGGGCAACCCUGACGGAGCGACGCCGCGUGCAGGAUGAAGGCCUUCGGGUCGUAAACUGCUGUCACACGUUAUGAAUAAGUGCGUAUUAACACUACGCACCCUGACAAAGGCGUGAAAGGAAGCCACGGCUAACUUCGUGCCAGCAGCCGCGGUAAG